GGAAGGAUCAUUAACACGUUCCAAAACGUUCAUAUCAACACCAAACGGUUCAGUGCAACAGUACUCCCUAACAAGAGGGUCAAGCUGCUCUUCUUCUUCUCCAGUGAUAGGUGGGUCCGCAAGGACUCGCGGAGAGACGUUGGGCUAGGGUCUCGAACCCAAGGCUCCUUUUGUUAGGCUUUUUCCCCCCUUUUCUCUAUCACUAACCAACUAACCACUUUCACCCCUUUAAAACAUUUGACUAAAUCUUUCGAACGAAGAAAUUUGUUUGGAAUUGUAUAUCUAACACUGUACAACUCUUAGCAAUGGAUAUCUUGGUUCUCGCAACGAUGAAGAACGCAGCGAAAUGCGAUAUGUAAUGCGAAUUGCAGAAUUCAGUGAAUCAUCAAAUCUUUGAACGCAAAUGGCGCUUUCGGGAUAGACCUGGAAGCACGCCUCUCUGAGUAUCGGUUCAACCUCAACUCAUUCUGUUGUGUGUAUCACGCAAGUGAUAGAUGCAUCGAGGAUGGAGAAUGAGAGUCUAAGCAGAUAUAUAUACUUGCUUUGUCUCUUGAAAUCUGUUGAGCUCCGAUCUCUCAUACUCGUUCCAGCCGUUCGCGGUUGGAUAGCCUCUUUGGCUUUUCUCUGAGUAGUAGUGACGUGGAUAAGAAUCACUUCUUGUGGUUGCGAAACGUCUGUCUAUUAUUCUUAGAAUGCUAUGUCAAGGAUGGGGAUAGAGCAUGAGACUGAUCGGGUGUGUAGAAUUGAACGAUCCAUGGUAUAUUCGUAUACCUAUGGGUUAUUUUUGACAUUAGAUCUCAGAUGAAGCGAGAAGACCCCCUGAAUUUAAGCAUAUUAAUAAGGGGAGGAAAAGAAACUAACAAGGAUUCCCUUAGUAACGGCGAGUGAAGCGGGAAUAGCUCAACAUGAGAAUCGGUGUCCUAAGCGGGACUUCGAAUUGUAGCCUAGAGACGCGUUAUCAGCGUGUGACCCAGGAAUAAGUCCUUUGGAAGAAGGCAUCAAAGAGGGUGAGAAUCCCGUCCUUGUUCUGGAGUUCGCCGCGUACGAUGCGCGUUCGAAGAGUCGAGUUGUUUGGGAUUGCAGCUCUAAAUGGGUGGUAAGUUUCAUCUAAAGCUAAAUAUGGGCGAGAGACCGAUAGCGAACAAGUACCGUGAGGGAAAGAUGAAAAGAACUUUGAAAAGAGAGUUAAAAAGUACUUGAAAUUGCUAAGAGGGAACCGCUGGCUCCCAGUGCUACCUAUGGGCAUUUUUGCCGUCAGCUGUUUGAGAGUCGUUCUUCCAGUUCGCAAGUCUGGCUGAGCGAUUUCGAGGGCGGGUUGGCGGUACUGUGCUUGUGGGUGAGUCCGGAUCCGUUUGCUUCGCGGGAGAACCCAUGUUGGAAGGUAGGGUGCUUGCAUCUGUUAUAGCCAAUAUGGGAUACCGUGGGGUAGACGGAGGAAUUUGUCAUGGUGCGCCUUUCUGGCUUGGGACCCUGCUCCUGGCUGGGUGAUAUGGUUUGGAUAGCAAUGCUAUGCGGUCGUAUCAUUCGGUUACUGAGUGGGUGCUCUCAUAUGCACCAUCGCGAUCCGGACGAAAUGGGAUCCAUCGACCCGUCUUGAAACACGGACCAAGGAGUCUAACAUAUAUGCGAGUAUUUGGGUGGAAAACCCGUAGAUGCGAAAUGAAAGUAAAGGCAGCUUCGGCUGCUGAGGUAGGAAGCCCGCAAGGGUGGCACUAUCGACCGAUCCUCACUUGUGAAAGAUUUGAGUCAGAGCAUAUCUGUUGGGACCCGAAAGAUGGUGAUCUAUGCCUGAACAGGGUGAAGCCAGGGGAAACUCUGGUGGAAGCUCGUAGCGAUACUGACGUGCAAAUCGUUCGUCUGAUUUGGGUAUAGGGGCGAAAGACUAAUCGAACCAUCUAGUAGCUGGUUCCCUC
Molecule: unclassified non-coding RNA, 1913 nt
Filed under: uncultured fungus
Lineage: Eukaryota; Fungi
Description: sequence contains 18S rRNA gene, ITS1, 5.8S rRNA gene, ITS2, 28S rRNA gene
Rfam family: Eukaryotic large subunit ribosomal RNA (bases 793-1913)
Source: RNAcentral